CUAUACAGAAGGAGCCACCUGCAAAAUGUUGAUGCUGUUAUUGAAAUCUCAAGUGGAAUCAGCUUUCAAAAAAUUAGAUAUUAGAUACAUCCGAUAUAAUUUGCAAUGUGUAAUUAUACUAAUGUGCAUAUAGUUGUGUGUUGCUUUACAUGUUGCCUACUUGAGAUUUUUUUUUUUCCCUUGGGCAUUUCUCCUCAUUUGAAAUGAUUCCUGAGUAGAAUGUUUUUAAAGUCAGCUUUUAUUUUAAAGUCAGCUUUUAUUUUUUAAAUUCCUUAUUAAUUAAUAAAAGAAGCAAAGAACUCCAUGUUCUCAUGUAAGAAUGAAUGUGUCUGACCUAGAUGUUGGAAAUUAACCGUCACUAAAAGGCUGAUUGUUGUGCAUACUUACAUUAUUUAUAAAAUAUUUGCUGCUCUUUACUGAUUUAGUCUUCAUCUUGACUUUGGACAACUUGAAGUAAUGGAGAAUAUUAGAAUCGUAAAUCUUAUUCAUAAGAAAUCCAUUUCCUUUAUUAGAAUAAUGAGAUAAAAUGCCAGUGGUCAGCCUGGCGCUCGGCGCUUGCUACAUGCUCAGCAGGUGUAGAUGCUCCUGAGGC
This 592-nucleotide long non-coding RNA is filed under the name Bos taurus (domestic cattle). Its description in RNAcentral is "long non-coding RNA NONBTAT006940". Lineage: Eukaryota; Metazoa; Chordata; Mammalia; Artiodactyla; Bovidae. The record is from RNAcentral.